AUGCACCCUCAGCUUCCCCCUCCAAACUGGCUUCAUAUCCAACCCUCACGGGAGGGAAUUUCUGGUUCCAAACAGCAUGACAAAACUUUGAAAAUUCCAGUAUCUGUUUAUAAGGUAGUGUCCACAGGGAUUUGGAAGGUGUCUGGAGAAUGCGUGGAAGGCAGCGCGCAGACUUCAGUGGCCUCCCCCAGCCAGCAGCACGAAGGGGUAAAAGGGUCCCAAGAGCCCCACCCCACCUACCGCCACCUCAUCCUGAGUCUGAGAGCUGCAGCCCGCACAGACCAGGCGCCCCUGGACUGAGCAUGCACAGAUUGACCCCUGGGGAAGUGUUCAUCCUGCAGAAAGGGGAGAAGAGAGGAAAAUGAAGUGACCUGGCAAAUGAUUCUAAGAGGGAACCUGGUGAGUAAUCAGCCCUGGAUAUGAGGAAAGAGAAAACAGGUAGCCCAGGAGUGGCAAGGAGACCUGGGGUGCGGCUCUCAGCUCCCAGAAGGAGCUGGUUCCUUAUCUGAGAACCAGAGAUAGAAGCUGGGUUUAAGCAAAAGUUCACCAACCAGGACAAAGGUCCUCACACUCUCCUCCUCCCCGCCCAAAAGAAAAGAAAAGAAAAAUCUGGCUGGGCGUGGUGGCUCACACCUGUAAUCCCAGCACUUUGGGAGGCUGAGGCGGGCGGAUCACGAGGUCAGGAGUUCGAGACCAGCCUGACCAACAUGGUGAAACCCCGUCUCUACUAAAAAAAAAAAAAAAAAAUACAAAAAUUAGCUGGGCAUGGUGGUGCACACCUGUAAUCCCAGCUACUCAGGAGGCUGAGGCAGGAGAAUCUCUUGAACCUGGGAGGCGGAGCUUUCAGUGAGCCAAGAUUGGGCCAUUGCACUCCCGCCUGGGCGACAGAGCAAGAUGCCGUCUCAAAAAAAAAAAAAAAAAAAAAAAAAAAAAUCCAGGAGAGGAAGAAUGUCAAUGGGCUUUGCUUUACUGGACAGGAUAACCCUUGACACUUUGUUUAACCACGCUGUGCCUCAGUUCCCCUCAGUUCCCUCAUCUGUAAAAUGGGGCUAAUGAAAGUGCCUACCUGGCGGGGCACAGUGGCUCACACCUGUAAUCUCAGCACUUUGGGAGGCCGAGGCAGGCAGAUCACCUGAGGUCAGGAGUUCCAAGACCAGCCUGGCCAACACGGCGAAACCCCGUCUCUGCUAAAAAUACAAAAAUUAGCUGGGCGUGGCGGUGCAUGCCUGUAAUCCCAUCUACUUGGGAAGCUGAGGCAGGAGAAUUACUUGAACCUGGGAGGCAGAGGGUUCAAUGAGCUGAUAUCGCGUCACUGCACUCCAGCCUGGGCAACAGAACGACACUUCAGAAGAAAAAAAAGGCCGAGCGCGGUGGCUCACGCCUGUAAUCCCAGAACUUUGGGAGGCCAAGGCGGGUGGAUCACCUGAGGUUGGGAGUUCGAGACCAACAUGGCGAAACCCCCUCUCUACUAAAAAUAUAAAAUUAGCCGGGCAUGAUGCCCAUGUCUGUAAUCCCAGCUACUUGGGAGGCUGAGGCAGGAGAAUCACUUGAACCCGGAGGCGGAGGUUGCAGUGAGCUGAGACCAUGCCAUUGCACUCCAGCCUGGGUAAGAAGAGUGAAACUCCGUCGCGGGGGAAAAAAAAAGGUCUACUUUAGGGCUGGGCUGGGCACAGUGGCUCAUUCCUGUAACCUCAGCACUUUGGAAGGCCGAAGGCGGGAGGAUCACUUGAGCCCAGGAGUUAAAGACCAUCCUGGGCAACAUAUCAAGACCCCUAAAAAAAAGAGUUAAGUGCCUACUUUUUAUCCUGACCCAGGCGUGUGGUGAGGAUUAAGCAAAUGCAUGGAAGUGACCAAGUACAGCAUACCUUCAGGGCCUGGGACUGCCGUAAGCAUCAGUAAGUCUCUCUCUUGACUAUGGGAGAAGUUAUCUGUAAAAAACCGGAAGCAUCCAGGGCAGAAGCAAAGUCUCUGGGGCCUUUGGAGGCUCUGGGAAUCUUCUGAGGGCAUUUCUCAGACUCUCUGUGUAAACAGAGGGGACUUGGCUUGAAGCCUCAAUUAACACAGCAGUUAAUUCCCCCAAUAUGACUUCUCAGGGCUCCCAGGAGAAACAAACGAUUUCCAAGGCUGCCAGCCCACUCCUGCCCCUUAGGGAGCUCUUAGACUGCCAU
Long non-coding RNA from Pongo abelii (Sumatran orangutan), 2168 nucleotides. The record is from Ensembl. Lineage: Eukaryota; Metazoa; Chordata; Mammalia; Primates; Hominidae.